UCGUAGCUCAGUGGUAGAGCGGUAGACUGAAAAUCUGCGCGUCGCUGGUUCAAUUCCCGCCGAGGC
Molecule: transfer RNA, 66 nt
Filed under: uncultured Candidatus Pelagibacter sp.
Lineage: Bacteria; Pseudomonadati; Pseudomonadota; Alphaproteobacteria; Candidatus Pelagibacterales; Candidatus Pelagibacteraceae
Rfam family: tRNA
About the family: Transfer RNA (tRNA) molecules are approximately 80 nucleotides in length. Their secondary structure includes four short double-helical elements and three loops (D, anti-codon, and T loops).
Source: RNAcentral